RNAcentral lists this small RNA (2155 nucleotides) under Pongo abelii (Sumatran orangutan). RNAcentral describes it as "processed transcript". Lineage: Eukaryota; Metazoa; Chordata; Mammalia; Primates; Hominidae. The record is from RNAcentral.
UUAUAGAGUAAGAAAUUGAGAUUCAGGAAUAUUAAUUUGCCCAGGAUCAUCCAAGUGGAAUGAACAUCAAAAGCCUAUUCCCUCUGCUUGGCCACUUCCACCACCUCAUUUUACUAAGUUUCCCCGUGUCUGUGUUAGUAAACUAAUAACUAAAAGGGUCUUGCAUUUUAAAUAGCUUUUUAACCCAAGAGCAUGCCACAUUUAGCCAGAGGCCCAUAGAACAAACUAAAAAUUACAACCUAAAAGAAUGUUUCUAAGGUUGUAUUGAGAAGGAAUUGAGCUCUUGAAUCCCUAGAAUUCCUUAUUAAUACUUUAUUCUUCUGUUAAAAGUUUUAUUUUUAAAAGUUUCAUACAGUGUGUAUAUUGGUGUGAUAAUCCUACAGAAAAAUCAAGCAGUUACGUUUUCUUCACAGAUAACAUAUAAAAUAUUAAACACAAUUAAAGCCUAUGUUAUUCAUUGGACUGAAGCUUUUAUGCAAUAAACCUUAGUUGGACCAGGAGUAAAUGUAUGGUUUGAUAUUCAGAGAAUCUCAUUCUUAGAAGCAACAAAGUAUAGUUAACACUAACUUGUUCAUUCUUAAAUCAGUAGUCCUCUCCUCCCAAAAAAGAGAUCUUAAAUUAUUUUCAUUUUAAAGUCAUCUAUUAACAACUUACCACAGUGCGGAGACUACUUUCUGAAAAGGCCACUCAUGUGAACACUAGGGAUGAAGAUGAGUAUACCCCUCUUCACCGAGCAGCCUACAGUGGACACUUAGAUAUUGUCCGGGAGCUCAUUGCACAGGGGGCAGAUGUUCAUGCAGUGACUGUGGAUGGCUGGACGCCCCUGCACAGUGCAUGUAAGUGGAAUAAUACCAGAGUGGCUUCUUUCUUACUGCAGCAUGAUGCAGAUAUCAAUGCCCAAACAAAAGGCCUCUUGACCCCCUUGCAUCUUGCUGCUGGGAACAGAGACAGCAAGGAUACUCUAGAACUCCUCCUGAUGAACCGUUAUGUCAAACCGGGGCUGAAAAACAACUUGGAAGAAACUGCAUUUGAUAUUGCCAGGAGGACAAGUAUCUAUCACUACCUCUUUGAAAUUGUGGAAGGCUGUACGAAUUCUUCACCUCAGUCUUAACAAUUCUAGUAAUUUUCCUAAGUUUCUAAAUACCAGUGCCUCCUUUGUGUGAGAUGUAUUCCCAUAAUCAAAGUUGACGUUAAACAUCUUACUACAAAAAUUCAGUGAUAUUCAUUAUAACAUUCUUCCAAGUGAAUUGCCUGACUUUGAUGUCAAAAUGUAUUUGAAAGUAAUUUGCAUAUAUCUUUAAUGAUUUCUGUGGAGUUUGUGAUUUUUUAUCAGAAUUAAUUUUAAUGUGUGUAUACUUAAAAACUUGACACGGGUUGUACAGAAACUGGUAUUUUUGGUGCUGAUCCAAGAGAAAUGUAUUUUUAAAUAUCCCACAUCCUGGAUCUUUGUUGAGUACUUAGCAUAUUGACAUAUAUUUUUAUAAGGUGAGGUAACUCAGAACUUAAUUUAAAAGUCUUAAAUAUUCUGAUACAAUUCAGCUGUCUUCUCUACCUUACCAUAGCCAGUUGCUUUCAUUUUAAACCAGAGCAAGUAACAUAUUAAUGACUUGAAGCUUCAGAAGUUAAAGAAAAAAACAGCAAAAAACCUAGAUCUUUGUCUUUUAGAACACAGACCAUUUCCAGGAAAGCAGUUAGCUAGGUGUUUAAUUCAUGAAUAUUGUAUACUGCCUCCCCUACCACAAUUUAAACAAUCCUGUGGAUAGUCCUACCUCACCCUGAUCAACCUACAUGAUCCUUAAGCUAAUGGCAAAUCACAAUGACCUUGUAGACAUGCACACAACUAUACCUUUGUCCAACAGAUCAUGAUAUAUCUGCUAUCCAACUGGUUUUACCUGCCUAAUCCUACUGAUUUGGGCACUGCUUAUAUAGUCUCUCAAGUUCACAGGAAAUGUUGAUUUUCUAAGGUCCUCAUUUUUACAGACUAUACAAAGGCAAAGUGACAGGCGAAAAGGAAUUAGUGUAAGAGUACGGGGAUGAUUAUUAUAUUGAGGCUAAAACCACAAAGUGGCUCAGGCUUUAAAAAAAACACUGUGGAUAAUGACAAAAAGCAUAAGUAAAAAUAUUUGAGAAAAAUAAAGUACAAGUUUUGAACAAC